RNAcentral lists this ribosomal RNA (2757 nucleotides) under Triticum aestivum (bread wheat). RNAcentral describes it as "partial small subunit ribosomal RNA". Lineage: Eukaryota; Viridiplantae; Streptophyta; Magnoliopsida; Poales; Poaceae. The record is from RNAcentral.
AUGGAGAUUGCUAUGAUUCGAGCCAAUGUCACGGAGGAUGAUGAGCAAACAAUGGCACGAUUCUUGAAUGGACUCAAUCAUCCCAUCAAGAAGAUCGCCGACUUCCAACCCUACUCCAACCUCAUUGAGCUCGUGCAUCAAGCUACAAAGGCGGAACGCCAAGUGCAAGAUGACUUCAAGUACGCCAAGUACUCCUCCAAGACAUACGGCUUCUCCAACAACCAAGCUUCAACAACUACUCCAACUUCGACAUCAACCAAGCCUUCUCCAAGCAACGACGACAAGUCAAGUUACAAGAAAACUUCCACAAGUUCAAGUCGUCUUCCUCCUACUACAAGCAACUUCAAGCCGCGUGCUUCGUCAUCUACUCCGACCGAUGAGACCGUCAAGACAAGCUCCUUCAAGUGUUUCACUUGCGGAGGCCGAGGCCACAAGUCCUAUGAAUGCACAAACAAGCGCACCAUGAUCCUCAACGACGAUGGCACCUACGACUCAAUGAGUGAAGAUGAAAUGAAAGCUAUUGAGCAAGUAGCCAUGCAUAGGCGAGUGAAUGAGGAUGAAGAUGAUCAAGUCUUUUGUGAUGAAGAUACGAGCCCCGCUCUCGUUGUCUCCAAGGUCUUGACUCUUCAACAUCAACAAGAAGAAGACCAACGAUGCCACAUCUUCCACACAAAGGCCGGCAUCAAUGGACGAUCCGUCAAGGUCAUCAUCGAUGGAGGUAGUUGCCACAACUUGGCAAGUGAAGAACUAUGCUCCAAGCUUCAAUUGGUCAAGAAGAAGCACCCGCACCCCUACAAGGUUCAAUGGCUAAGUGACUCCGGCACUAUACGAGUUGAGCAUACGGUCCAAGUAUCCUUCAAAAUUGGUGCAUAUGAGGACACUUUGGAGUGUGAUGUGGUCCCAAUGACCGUUUGCCACCUCCUUCUUGGUCGACCAUGGCAAUUCGACUGUGGUGUCUUCCACAACGGGCGUACCAACCACUAUAGCUUCAAGAUAAAAGGAAAGGAAUAUGUGCUACGACCCAUGUCUCCUAGUCAAGUGAUAGCCGACAAGCAAGCCACCCACCAUAGAGAGAAGAGUGAGAAAGUGAUCCACCAAAAAGUGAGUGAGAGCCACAAGCCAAACUUGAGCGCCUCUUCGCCUAGAGAGAAAAACCUCAUACUAUUUGCCACAAAAAGUGAGAUGAGAGAAGUGUGUGAGAACCCAUCGAGUGUGAGGCACUUUGUCCUUGUGUGCAAGGAUGGAGAAACAAAAACUAACACCAUUCACGAGCUACCUUUGGUGUUUCAAUCUCUUUUGCAGGAAUUUCAAGAUGUUUUCCCCGAUGAGCUACCUCCGGGUCUACCUCCUCUUCGAGGCAUUGAGCAUCGAAUCGACCUCAUCCCCGGAGCGCCACUUCCAAACAAAGCUCCAUACCGUGUCAAUCCCGAAGAAACCAAGGAGAUUCAACGGCAAGUACAACAACUAAUCGACAACGGUCAUGUACGUGAAAGCUUAAGCCCUUGUGCCAUUCCCGUCAUACUUGUGCCUAAGCCCGAUGGAAGUUUCCGCUUGUGUUCCGAUUGUAGACCUAUAAAUGCUAUCACCGUUCGCUAUAGGCAUCCCAUUCCUCGCUUAGAUGAUAUGCUUGAUGAACUUAGUGGAGCCAACUUUUUCUCAAAAAUUGAUCUUAAGAGUGGCUAUUAUCAAAUACGCAUUCACGAGGGUGACGAAUGGAAAACGGCUUUCAAAACAAAAUUUGGCUUAUAUGAAUGGUUAGUCAUGCCUAUGGGUUUAUCGGAGGCUCCCGACACUUUUGUGCGUCUCAUGCAUCAUGUACUUCGACCUUACAUUGGAGUCUUUGUUGUGGUUUACUUCGAUGAUAUUCUUGUGUUUAGCAAAACCAUGAAAGAGCAUCUUGAUCAUGUUAAGCUUGUUUUGCAAACGCUUCGCAAGGAAAGUCUUUAUGCUAACAUGAAAAAGUGCACAUUUGGUGUUGACAAAGUGGUUUUCUUGGGUUUCGUUGUUUCCUCCAAGGGUGUCCAUGUUGAUGAAACUAAAAUUGAAGCAAUUAAAACUUGCCCCCAACCCACCAAUUUGCAACAAGUGCGUAGUUUUCUUGGUCUUGCAGGUUUUUAUCGCCGCUUUGUGAAAGAUUUUAGCACAAUAGCCGCUCCUUUGCAUGCUUUGAGUAAGAAAAACGCUCCUUUUGUUUGGGGAACUUUGCAAUCAACCGCUUUUGAUGAGCUCAAGUCUUUGCUUACUCAUGCUCCGAUUCUUGCUUUGCCCAACUUUGACAAAACUUUUGAGGUUCAUUGUGAUGCAAGUGGUACCGGAAUUGGCGGAGUUUUGAUGCAAGAAAAACGUGUAAUUGCAUAUUUUAAUGAAAAACUCUCCGGUGCUCAACUUAACUAUCCCAUCUAUGACAAAGAAUUGUAUGCUUUAGUGCGUGUCCUACAUGUUUGGGAACAUUAUCUUAGACCUCAUGAGUUUGUCAUCCAUACCGAUCAUGAAACGCUCAAGUACUUAAAAGGUCAAACUAAGUUGAACAAACGUCAUGCCAAAUGGAGUGAAUUUAUUGAAUCUUUCCCAUAUGUGAUCAAGUACAUUAAGGGUAAGGAAAAUGUAGUUGCCGACGCGCUUUCACGCAUAUGUACACUUGUCACUAAACUUGAGUUGAAUGUUAUUGGUUUUGAGCACAUCAAAGACUUGUAUGCUAAUGAUCCAUCUUUUGCUAUUCCUUAUGCUAAGUGUUUGACGCAUACUUCUUGGGAAUAA